This is a long non-coding RNA of Panicum virgatum (switchgrass), 528 nucleotides long. RefSeq lists it as uncharacterized. Lineage: Eukaryota; Viridiplantae; Streptophyta; Magnoliopsida; Poales; Poaceae. The record is from RefSeq and is a predicted model, not a curated record. The transcript has 4 exons.
CCCCCCCCACCCCCCGCCACCGGUCCAGGUGCCACCGCUGCAGUUUGAGAAGGCAUCACAGGGGUCAGACGGAUCGGUGCUCUCGCUGUUCUGGGACGCGAUUGCGCGCAUGCAAGAAGCGCAUGCAAGCUUGGAUGAGCACAUUUCGAGAUGGUUCGGGCUGGACCAGUCCAAGUACCAGUGGGCGCUCAAAGAAUACUACGAAAGCACCGGACAGGAGAUUGGCAAAGCUUGCAAUCCGAAGGAGCACAGUUGUAAAACAUAGGAAGUAUAAAUAAGAAAAUUCUUUCUGGAUUUUAUGUGUGUAACUGAGCUGGUGCUGUACGCAUGUAAUGUUCGAUUUGGAAUAUAUUUUGUUGUUGAGGCCUCUUUUGCUGCAUCAUGUAGGAUUCACCUGAAGAACCAUGUUCUUGGUUGUAACAAUUCCUUUGUGCCGUUACUGUAGUUCCGUUGUUUACAGUGCUUCGAACUCGAUACAUUAGAUGCUCUGGUGUAUGGAAUGAAUUUACCAACGAAUUAAACCUUUAA